UACGUAGGGGGCAAGCGUUGUCCGGAAUCAUUGGGCGUAAAGCGCGCGUAGGCGGCCCGGUAAGUCCGCUCUGAAAGUCCAGGGCUCAACCCUGGAAAGCGGGUGGAUACUGCCGGGCUAGAAUCCGGAAGAGGCGAGUGGAAUUCCUGGUGUAGCGGUGGAAUGCGCAGAUAUCAGGAGGAACACCAAUAGCGAAGGCAGCUCGCUGGGACGGUAUUGACGCUGAGGCGCGAAAGCUAGGGUAGCAAACGGG
This 253-nucleotide ribosomal RNA is filed under the name uncultured bacterium. Its description in RNAcentral is "partial 16S ribosomal RNA". It matches the Rfam family "Bacterial small subunit ribosomal RNA", at positions 524 to 776 of the family's 1533-position model. The record is from RNAcentral.